This 200-nucleotide unclassified non-coding RNA is filed under the name soil metagenome. RNAcentral's name for it is "partial contains internal transcribed spacer 2 and large subunit ribosomal RNA". The record is from RNAcentral.
GAGCGUCAUUUAAACCUUCAAGCUACGCUUGGUGUUGGGUGACUGUCCGCCUCACGGCGGACUCGCCUCAAAAUUAUUGGCGGCCGGUACAUUGGCUUCGAGCGCAGCAGAAACGCGAACUCGGGCCCGUCGUAUUGGCUCCCAGAAGCUAUCUUCACAAUUUUGACCUCGGAUCAGGUAGGGAUACCCGCUGAACUUAA